Molecule: ribosomal RNA, 1389 nt
Filed under: Triticum aestivum (bread wheat)
Lineage: Eukaryota; Viridiplantae; Streptophyta; Magnoliopsida; Poales; Poaceae
Description: partial small subunit ribosomal RNA
Source: RNAcentral
AUGGAUCUUGAGUUCGGGAGGGGCAUGAGAUCCCCGCAGAGGGACUCAUGGAAGACCACCAUGCUGCUGGCAUACCAGAGCCUCGGGGUGGUGUACGGGGACCUCAGCAUCUCCCCUCUCUACGUCUUCAAGAGCACCUUCGCCGAGGACAUCCAGCACUCGGACACCAACGAGGAGAUCUUCGGCGUCCUCUCCUUCGUCUUCUGGACGCUCACCCUCAUCCCUCUCAUCAAGUACGUCUCCAUUGUCCUCCGAGCCCACGACAAUGGCGAGGGAGGGACGUUCGCCCUCUACUCGCUGAUUUGCCGGCACGCCAAUGUGAGCCUCCUGCCCAACAGGCAGAUUGCGGACGAGGAGCUCUCCACCUACAAGCUGGAGCGCAACGCUGAGACCGUGGACAAGACCAGCGUCAAGGUGUGGCUGGAGAAGCACAAGAACCUGCACACCGCCCUCCUCAUCAUGGUUCUCAUUGGCACCUGCAUGGUCAUUGGGGACGGUGUCCUCACGCCGGCUAUAUCUGUGUUCUCAGCUGUGUCAGGCCUUGAGUUCUCCUUGUCCAAAGAUCACCAUGAAUAUGCCGUCAUUCCAAUAACAUGCGUCAUAUUAGCAUUUCUGUUUGCCCUCCAGCAUUUUGGUACACAUCGAGUUGGAUUUAUCUUUGCCCCGAUAGUUCUAGCCUGGCUACUCUGCAUGAGUGCUCUUGGCCUUUACAAUAUCAUACAUUGGAAUCCUCAUGUCUAUCAAGCUCUGAAUCCCUAUUACAUGUUCAAGUUCCUAAAGAAGACUAGGAAAUAUGGCUGGAUGUCACUCGGUGGAAUUUUGCUCUGCAUGACAGGAUCUGAAGCAAUGUUCGCCGAUCUUGGACACUUCUCAUACAGCGCAAUCCAGCUUGCUUUCACUUCUUUGGUUUACCCCGCGUUGAUUCUGGCAUACAUGGGUCAGGCAGCUUACUUAUCAAAACAUCAUGACUUUUACUCAAACUCUCAAGUUGGAUUUUACAUCGCGGUUCCAGAUAAGGUGAGAUGGCCUGUUCUUGUACUGGCUAUUCUGGCUUCAGUUGUUGGAAGCCAAGCAAUCAUCAGCGGAACAUUCUCAAUAAUCAAUCAGAGUCAGUCCCUAAGCUGCUUCCCUCGGGUAAAAGUUGUGCACACGUCUGAGAAAAUUCAUGGGCAGAUAUACAUCCCUGAGAUCAACUGGCUACUCAUGAUCCUCUGCAUUGCCGUGACUGUUGGAUUCAGAGACACUAAGCACAUGGGAAACGCAUCCGGACUAGCAGUGAUCACUGUGAUGCUGGUUACCACAUUCCUGACAUCCCUUGUGAUCAUGGUGUGCUGGCACAAGCCACCCCUGCUGGCCCUGGGCUUCCUCCUCUUCUUCGGCUCCGUGUAG